GAUAAACGCUGGCGGCGUGCAUGAGACAUGCAAGUCGAACGAAGGAUCGGGCUUGCUCGAUCCUUAGUGGCGGACGGCUGAGUAACGCGUAGGUGACCUACCCCGAAGUGGGGAAUAACUGCCCGAAAGGGUGGCUAAUACCGCAUGUGGUCGCACGUUCAUUCGUGCGAGUAAAGCCGCAAGGCGCUUCGGGAGGGGCCUGCGUCCGAUUAGCUCGUUGGUGGGGUAAUGGCUUACCAAGGCGACGAUCGGUAGGUGGUCUGAGAGGACGAUCACCCAGACUGGGACUGAGACACGGCCCAGACUCCUACGGGAGGCAGCAGUCGGGAAUUUUGCUCAAUGGGGGAAACCCUGAAGCAGCAACGCCGCGUGAGGGAUGAAGGCCUUCGGUUGUAACUCUUUGUUCAGGGACGAUGAUGACGGUACCUGGCGAAUAAGCCACGGCUAACUACGUG
This 455-nucleotide ribosomal RNA is filed under the name uncultured bacterium. RNAcentral's name for it is "bacterial SSU rRNA". It matches the Rfam family "Bacterial small subunit ribosomal RNA", at positions 28 to 507 of the family's 1533-position model. The record is from RNAcentral.